Molecule: ribosomal RNA, 440 nt
Filed under: uncultured bacterium
Lineage: Bacteria
Description: partial 16S ribosomal RNA
Rfam family: Bacterial small subunit ribosomal RNA
Source: RNAcentral
CCUACGGGUGGCAGCAGUGGGGAAUAUUGCACAAUGGGGGAAACCCUGAUGCAGCAACGCCGCGUGAGUGAUGACGGCCCUCGGGUUGUAAAGCUCUGUCUUCAGGGACGAUAAUGACGGCACCUGAGGAGGAAGCCACGGCUAACUACGUGACAGCAGCCGCGGUAAUACGGAGGUGGCGAGCGUUGUCCGGAUUUACUGGGCGUAAAGGGAGCGUAGGCGGACUUUUAAGUGAGAUGUGAAAUACUCGGGCUCAACUUGAGUACUGCAUUUGAAACUGGAAGUCUAGAGUGCAGGCGAGGAGGAUGGAAUUCGUGGUGUAGCGGUGAAAUGCGUAGAGAUUACGAAGAACACCGGUGGCGAAGGCGAUUCUCUGGACUGUAACUGACGCUGAGGCUCGAAAGCGUGGGGAGCAAACAGGAUUAGAUACCCGAGUAGUC